GUCCCAGCCGUAAACGAUGUAGAUUAGGUGUCGGGGAGUCGAACCCUUCGGUGCCGCAGUUAACACAUUAAAUCUACCACCUGGGGAGUACGGUCGCAAGACUGAAACUCAAAGAAAUUGACGGGGACCCGCACAAGCGGUGGAGCAUGUGGUUUAAUUCGAGGCUACGCGAGGAACCUUACCUAGGCUUGACAUGUUAGCAGUAGGUGGGAUGAAAGUUCCGCCGACCGUAUCCAAUCGGAGGCUUACACAGGUGCUGCAUGGCUGUCGU
RNAcentral lists this ribosomal RNA (271 nucleotides) under uncultured bacterium. Its description in RNAcentral is "partial 16S ribosomal RNA". It matches the Rfam family "Bacterial small subunit ribosomal RNA", at positions 793 to 1055 of the family's 1533-position model. The record is from RNAcentral.